This is a non-coding RNA of Trichomonas vaginalis G3, 1004 nucleotides long. NCBI's taxonomy places the organism in Eukaryota, Parabasalia, Trichomonadida, Trichomonadidae. The record is from Rfam.
UGAAGCGAAAAAUAGUUUACUGUGUCACUCGUACCGAUAACCCGCAUCAGGUCUUCUAGGUAAGUAGCCUAUGGCCAUUGAGGCAUGAUAGUUCAGGGAAUUCGGCCAAUUAGAGCUGUAACUUCGGGAUAAAGCUUGGCUCUGAUGAAAAUCAGAACCGAUUGUUACGCGGAGAGCCCAACUGUUUAAUAAAAACGUAGUGUCGCGCUGUGGUAGUAUAGCCAGUGAACGCGACAUGAAUCCUGCUCAGUGCUGUGUCUGUUAAUAUGGUUCAAGCCAACGAAGCACCGGUAAAUAGCUGGGGUAACUAUGACUCUUAUCAAAGUAGCGAAAUACCUCGUCACUUAAUUAGUGACCUGCAUGAACGGAGCUAUGAGGUUCUCACUGUCCCAAACUGUCUCUCAGCGAACCAACUGUAGUGGGAACGGUCACUAGAUAUCCAGCGGGGAAAGAAGACCCUGUAGAGCUUCACUUUGGUCUAGUCUUGUAUAGUUCCUGCGGGGGUGUAGACUAGGUGGGAGAGCAAUCGAUUCUGAAAAACCACUACCCUGUUUGGAAUUAUGCUUACCUAUCACAAGGAAUAGGACUAGAUAGAAAGUUUGGCUGGGGCGGCACACCUUCGAAAGAGCAGCGAAGGUGUCCUAAGUUGAGCUCAGUGAGGACAGAAAUCUCACGUUGAGGAUAAGGCCAAAAGCUCAAUUUACUGUGCCUUUUUGUACUAGGAUCAGUUACGAAAGUAAGGCCUAACGAUCCCUAAAUAGCCUCAGGUGCGUGAGGAUUGGGGUGACAGACAAGUUACCUCCGGGACAACUGGCUUGUGGCUGCUAAGAGAUCAAAUCAACGCAGCUUUUUGAUUCUUCGAUGUCGGCUCUUCCUAUCCUAGUGAUGUACAAGUUGCUAAGGGUCGGAUUGUUCACCCGUAUUAGGGAUCGUGAGCUGGGUUUAGACCGUCGUGAGCCAGGUUUGUUUUAUCCUACUGGAUAUAGCAUCAUGAUAGUAGAUGA